Molecule: unclassified non-coding RNA, 109 nt
Organism: Microcebus murinus (gray mouse lemur)
Lineage: Eukaryota; Metazoa; Chordata; Mammalia; Primates; Cheirogaleidae
Rfam family: Y RNA
About the family: Y RNAs are components of the Ro ribonucleoprotein particle (Ro RNP), in association with Ro60 and La proteins. The Y RNAs and Ro60 and La proteins are well conserved, but the function of the Ro RNP is not known.
Source: Ensembl
GGCUGAUCUAAGUGUAGUGGUGUUUACUGUUUACAGCUAAUUGAUCACAACCAGUUACAGAUUCCUUUGUUCUUUUUCCACUCCCACUGCUUCACUUGACUAGUCUGGG